Molecule: unclassified non-coding RNA, 279 nt
Filed under: plant metagenome
Description: partial contains small subunit ribosomal RNA, internal transcribed spacer 1, and 5.8S ribosomal RNA
Source: RNAcentral
UGUCCGUAGGUGAACCUGCGGAGGGAUCAUUACAGAGUUCAUGCCCUACCGGGUCUAUCUUCCACACUAUGUUAUUAUUACCUUGUUGCUUUGGCGGGCCGUUAGGCCCCGGCCCGACUACCGGUCCCGGAUGGUUAGCGCCUGUCCGUGGACUCAAAACCCUGAAUAUUUGUGACGCCUGAGCACUUUAUCAUAGUUAAAACUUUCAACAAAUGAUCUCUUGAUUCUGUCAUAGAUGAAGAAUGCAGCACAUCGGAAGCGCACACGACCGAAACACAC